Molecule: ribosomal RNA, 253 nt
Filed under: uncultured bacterium
Lineage: Bacteria
Description: partial 16S ribosomal RNA
Rfam family: Bacterial small subunit ribosomal RNA
Source: RNAcentral
CACGUAGGGCGCAAGCGUUGUCCGGAAUUAUUGGGCGUAAAGAGCUCGUAGGCGGUCUGUUGCGUCCGCUGUGAAAACUCGGGGCUUAACCCCGAGCCUGCAGUGGAUACGGGCAGACUAGAGGUAGGUAGGGGAGAAUGGAAUUCCCGGUGUAGCGGUGAAAUGCGCAGAUAUCGGGAGGAACACCGGUGGCGAAGGCGGCUUCCUGGACCGGCAUUGACGCUGAGGCGCGAAAGCCAGGGGAGCAAACGGG